CUUCGGUCUUUUCAGGGGAAAGUAAUGCACCUGUAGUGUUGACUUGAUCUUUUUACAGCCUGCCACCAGAUGGAGAUAUUUUCCCAAACAAGUCCACCCAGUUUCUUAAGGAAAGCCCAAGGGACUUUAAUAGUAGAACAAAUGAACAGAAAUGAGCAGCCUCCCAGGCUGGAGAUCCUGAAGUGAAUGCAUUGAAGUUUAGAUACAUAACAGGUACAUAGCAGGAGCUGAAUCCAAUUAAUUCAACAGUCUCAAUUCAUUUGAGUUUUGGUUGAUAGCAAGUGGCAUUUGUUGCUCUCUUCACGUCUCGCAAGUGAAAAUCAUUAAUGCUAUCGUAAUAGGCUGACACUUCUGGCAACACCACUGCACCAGCAGCGCAGGGACCUUCUCCUGACCCACUUGACAGAAAUCCCAGAAGGGCCAGCCCCUUCGUGUUGGGUAAUUAAUUAGCUUGCUGGAUGGUCCCUCCAAUUAAUGUAUGAUUGAGUUGUCUUGGCAGGGUAAGACGUGUCUGUUUGUGGUCGGCAUUGUAGACCGUUUUCCUGACUAAAGAAACCACUUGUAUGAUUUGUGAGUGUUGGAAUUGGGCAGGGUUCUCAGGAGCUGCUGAAAGUAUCAGCCCCUUGAGCAUAUUUUAAGCGAACCACGCUGAUGCAAUCCAAGAUCAUUAAUCAAAAAUAUAUGUAAAGCGUAUUUUUAAAAAUAGGUGGCUAAUAUUGCUUUGUCUUCCAGAGUCCUGCAGUUUCUCACUUCCCUGCUUUGUGGGUCAGAUGCUUUGCAGCCAAUUUACAUCAAUUCCUGGCACUGUUUUUAAAGGAAGCAAGGGGGAACAGUGAGAAGUCUCACUUUCUGCCAACAACAGGAAGUGCAUGCUCUUUGAGUCAGACAGCUUGUUUCAGCGAUGCCUUUUGUUGAACCAACAAGUUACUGGACGGCGCAUUCAAUCUGAGGUGUAGUGCUGCUUGACAAAUCCCUGGAAAGGCAACAUCAGAGGCGUGGGGGGUCAGGCGGAAGGCAGCACGCCAUUGCAAUGCUCCUUUUUUGAAGGCAGCAUUCACUUUAAAGACCAGUCAUCCGAGGGAAGAGAGAGGAAAUGGUAACAACACCUCUCUCGUGAUCUGUCCUGUGGGUCUGAAUGUGCAGUGACUGAACUCUUGCUAGGGGUGACCACUGGAGGUUAGCACCU
RNAcentral lists this long non-coding RNA (1186 nucleotides) under Anas platyrhynchos platyrhynchos (common mallard). RNAcentral's name for it is "lncRNA (ENSAPLG00000025833.1)". Lineage: Eukaryota; Metazoa; Chordata; Aves; Anseriformes; Anatidae. The record is from RNAcentral.